This is a long non-coding RNA of Catharus ustulatus (Swainson's thrush), 2081 nucleotides long. RefSeq lists it as uncharacterized. The transcript is spliced from 3 exons. The record is from RefSeq and is a predicted model, not a curated record. Lineage: Eukaryota; Metazoa; Chordata; Aves; Passeriformes; Turdidae.
GUGAGAUCAUUCUGCUUCUCCCCCUCUUCCUUGGCCAUGCAUUUCCAUUUUUCUGGUGGCCAUGGCAAGCUGAACUAGAAGAAAACAAACCUCACCAUAAAAAACCAGAUGAAGCAUUACUAUGCUGAGAAGACAGUGUCAUGUGAAAGCCUGCCAGACAACCCAGACGGAGCACCAUAAAGAGCUGUCUGAUUUCAAGACCUGAUGGCUGUGUAUGUAGAAGUUCACAGACUUGCAGAUCAGAUUGAAACAGAAAUUGAUUCCAGUCCUAGAAAAGCAAAGGAGGAAAACACUGAGAAGGCCAUGCUAGAAAGAUGGCACCUCUCCCCACUAUAAGGCAGCCUUGGAGUGGUAUCAUUUCUUCCAGGCUAGAUACAGCUUGGGCUCACACCACCAGGUUGUAUGCAAGCACAGAAAGAGGAAUUCAUUAUCCCACAGGCAACUUUUCCUCCUCCUGGGAAAAUAAUGGUGAAUUGUUUCUUAGAGCCCUAUAUAUCAAAAAGCUAUUUUUUUAAUAUGAAAAAGAAAAAAACCCCCAAAAAUAUAAAAGCUCUCAAAACUGACAUUUCAUAUUCUAUCUGAGAAGGCAGAUAAAGCUACAUAAUUAGUCAGGGAAGGAUCACUCCCUUUCUCCCUGCAGCCUCCAGAGGAUAAACUCCAGAUAAGCCUUUCAGAGACUGCAGAGCUCCAACUGCAGAGGGUUUUAGUCUGUGAAAGAUGUUCGGAGCACACAAUAAUUAGCAGCUCACAGCUGAAUUUUGCUAGCUGUCAUAGUAUUUGUUGCUAUCACUGCAUGAAAGUGCUCCUGUAGGUCUCCUGAGUUUUCCUAAAUGUGUGCUGUAGUCUGAUUUGUCCACACAGAACUUUUUAAUAGAAAAUUUGGUCAGUGUACAAUACUUAAAGGCUUACAGCAAAUCCCUUUUCCAUGGCAGAACACCACCUGGACAGAAUGAGAAAAUAAAACUUCUUUUCCUGGACAAAGCAGGAACUCCUUUACUCUUUAUACUGUGUCUAGGCCCUUACAAUCCAGGGGGAUUCAGUAUGCUGGGAAAAUCAAUGGGUAGCCUGCUAAUCCAAAUCCACAUCUUUGUAUCCCCAAAUCAGUACUCAAGAGUUCUGGCAGAAGACAGGCCUUUUCUUAAGACUUACCCUUCAUCUCUGCUUGCACGGUUUUUAAGUCCCAGUGGGAAAACUGUAGAGAAGCUGGGAGAAAGACAGUAAAUAUAUUGUAAUUCCUUUAAACUGAAUUGAGAUUCACCUCUGUUUUAAGAAGAGCUGCCUGGGUUACCUUAAAUUCACUAUGUGCUAAGUGUUUCAGGACUGAUACUGUUUUUGAGAUAGUUUUCAUUACUACUGCUUUCCAGACUGCAGUCUCAGAUUUGUAUAAAAUUCUUACAAGUAUUUCUAACCUUUAAUUACAAUUCACUUAAUGGUAAAUGUGCUUAUGCUGUCUCUUUUCUCAUCCAAAACAGCUGUUCAAGUUCUUAAUCUGUGGGCUGUGCUUUGUUUGCAGCAGUUGAUGUCUGUCCUGUUACUGUAUUUUAUCUUUUUCAGGCAUACUUAGCUUACCUUCUCAGCUUCCAUGGUCUCUCUAUGCCCCCCGAAAACCAGCUGCUGGGAGCUAUAUAUGCAUAACAUCUAUACACUUAACAAAGCUUUCAUUGUCUUUCAAUCCAAUUGCAAAGGUCGUUUUCUCAGCUCAUUGUCCCAGUGCUGUCACUCCUCUUUUUUUGCACAAUGCCAUUGGUUCAUUUUCUUCACUGCGUGAAAUACAAAUGACUUCUCUUUACUUUUCAAGCCAUGUCUAAUCUACAUCACUGAGAAAUAUCCUUCACUACCAUUAUACAAAUGAUACCAGUCUUAUACAUUCACUUUCAUGCUGCUGAUUAUGCAUAGCACAAAAUCUGUGUAAUACCCCUAAACCCCUCUUUCUCUGCUUUUUCAAGCAUCAGGUCUCUGCCUUGAGCUUUGUCAGAGUCUGAGCAUAGCUACGUAACUCUUGCUAGAGAUGCUUUUUCAUAUGAACCAGUUACAACCUGUUCCUUCACAUGUCUCUAUAAGGUACUUCAGAGGCAAAAUAG